UGGUGGAGUGAUUUGUCUGCUUAAUUGCGAUAACGAACGAGACCUUAACCUACUAAAUAGCUUUGUUAGCUUUUGCUGACUUAAAGCUUCUUAGAGGGACUAUCGUGCUUAAAGCCGAUGGAAGUUUGAGGCAAUAACA
This 139-nucleotide ribosomal RNA is filed under the name uncultured eukaryote. RNAcentral describes it as "partial 18S ribosomal RNA". It matches the Rfam family "Eukaryotic small subunit ribosomal RNA", at positions 1299 to 1458 of the family's 1831-position model. The record is from RNAcentral.